This 67-nucleotide transfer RNA is filed under the name Marmota monax (woodchuck). RNAcentral's name for it is "tRNA.Ala". Lineage: Eukaryota; Metazoa; Chordata; Mammalia; Rodentia; Sciuridae. The record is from RNAcentral.
GGUUGUGGCUCAGUGGUAGACUGAUUGCCUAGCAUGCAUGAGGCACUAGGUUUGAUCCCUGGCACCA